Molecule: ribosomal RNA, 429 nt
Filed under: Gemmatimonadota bacterium
Lineage: Bacteria; Pseudomonadati; Gemmatimonadota
Description: Gemmatimonadetes bacterium partial 16S ribosomal RNA
Rfam family: Bacterial small subunit ribosomal RNA
Source: RNAcentral
UUGGGAAUCUUCGGCAAUGGACGAAAGUCUGACCGAGCAACGCCGCGUGAGUGAAGAAGGUUUUCGGAUCGUAAAACUCUUUUGUUAGAGAAGAACAAGGACGUUAGUAACUGAACGUCCCCUGACGGUAUCUAACCAGAAAGCCACGGCUAACUACGUGCCAGCAGCCGCGGUAAUACGUAGGUGGCAAGCGUUGUCCGGAUUUAUUGGGCGUAAAGCGAGCGCAGGCGGUUUCUUAAGUCUGAUGUGAAAGCCCCCGGCUCAACCGGGGAGGGUCAUUGGAAACUGGGAGACUGGAGUGCAGAAGAGGAGAGUGGAAUUCCAUGUGUAGCGGUGAAAUGCGUAGAUAUAUGGAGGAACACCAGUGGCGAAGGCGGCUCUCUGGUCUGUAACUGACGCUGAGGCUCGAAAGCGUGGGGAGCAAACAGG